AACCUCCGCAAUGUGAGAAAUCGCGACGGGGGGAUCCCAAGUGCCAUUCUUAACGGGAUGGCUUUUCAUUAGUGUAAAGAGUCGUUUAGAAUAAGGGCUGGGCAAGACCGGUGCCAGCCGCCGCGGUAACACCGGCAGCUCUAGUGGUAGCAGUUUUUAUUGGGCCUAAAGCGUCCGUAGCCGGUUUAAUAAGUCUCUGGUGAAAUCCUGUAGCUUAACUGUGGGAAUUGCUGGAGAUACUAUUAGACUUGAGACCGGGAGAGGUUAGAGGUACUCCCAGGGUAGAGGUGAAAUUCUGUAAUCCUGGGAGGACCGCCUGUUGCGAAGGCGUCUAACUGGAACGGUUCUGACGGUGAGGGACGAAAGUUAGGGGCGCGAACCGGAUUAGAUACCCGGGUAGUCCUAACCGUAAACGAUGCGGACUUGGUGUUGGGUGGCUUUGAGCUGCUCCAGUGCCGAAGGGAAGCUGUUAAGUCCGCCGCCUGGGAAGUACGGUCGCAAGACUGAAACUUAAAGGAAUU
RNAcentral lists this ribosomal RNA (521 nucleotides) under uncultured bacterium. RNAcentral describes it as "bacterial SSU rRNA". It matches the Rfam family "Archaeal small subunit ribosomal RNA", at positions 345 to 866 of the family's 1478-position model. The record is from RNAcentral.